CCAGCCCUGCCACGGAUCAGUCCCCCUGGCAGUGUCCCCGCUGGCCGGGUGACCCCAGGGCUGACCCCUGGCUGAUGGGAGGGUCCCCUCCAUGCCACCAGCUCACCCGGCCUCUCCCUAAAGGGUGGGAAUGGCCAGAGACCCCUUCCCCACCUGCCACCCAGGGAAUGCCCCUCCCGGACAGGAGAAGAGGGACAGGAAGUGCUGCCACCUCCAGCCACACGUCCCCAAGCUGGGGACACCCCACCGCAGAGGCCGGGGACUCACCUCGGAGCCAGGCGGCCGCUUGCGCGGGGCCCCAGGAGCGCACGGGCUCCAUGGCGGCGGCGGGGCCGGAGCGGCGGCGGGCGCGGCUGUUACCGGGGCCGGGCACGGCUCUCACCGGGGCCGGGCGCGGCUCUCACCUGCACCGGCAGCCGCAGCCCCAUUGGCGCUCCCGGGUGCCGCUCAGCGCCGUGCCCGCCCCGCACGGCCCGGGACGGUGCCGUGGGGCGAGGCCGCGGUGAGUCACAGCCCGGACGGUGACACACGGCCGCUGGAACCCGGGAAAUGACACCCGGUGUCACCCGCCAGCGAGGGCUGAGGCCCCACAGCACUUGUGACACCGGCGGGACACCCCCAGUUGCCCUGUGGGUGCGAAGUUAGACCCCCAGGAGAACACGAGGGAAGCCCCUGCUCAGCCCUGGAGUUUUUGGGGUGUCACCCCAACCCAAAGCAUAACUCACACCCCUUUACAGGUGGGGAAACUGAGGCAGCCCUAUACAGGCCUGCAGAGGAGCUGGCCCGCAGUUAAGCCCAGCCCUUCAGCCCCCCCAAAUCCACCCUGGGCUGGCCCCGGCCCCCCCGCCCGGCGUGUCCGCUCCGGGGAGCAGCGGGCGCUGAUCGCGGCUGACAGCCGCUGCUGCUCCGCGGCCGCCGCUGCUGCGCCCCGGCCCUGCCCGCGGGGCCACCGGGGGGCUCGGGGGGUCCCAGCCCCGCUGCUGCCGCCGCCCCACGGCCCCAUCCCGCUGCUCCUCGUCUCGCCAUGAUCAUCCGCCCCCGACGCCUGACCCCCGGCUACUUCCGUCUGCUGCAGAUGCAGCUGGCAGCGGGACGUGGGGCUGAGCCGGGGGGGCGGCUGCUGACCCCCCUGGCCCUGCUGCUGGCGGCCGCCGGGCUCUGCCUGUCCCUCUACAGCGCCCGGAGAAUGGCCGACCCCGGCAAGGCCCCCCCGGAGCCGUGAGGAGCGGCCCGGGGGCGUGGGGAUGGUCCCCGGGCCGUGUUGGGGUCCCCCGCCGCCCCCCGCCCGAGCGGAGCCGCUGCUGCCGCCACUCUCCGCAGCCGACCUGCGCCACACGCAGCCCUUCCACCGCCCUGGGGAUGGGGACACGCCUGUCCCCGCCUGUCCCCGCGUGUCCCCGCCUGGGGCAGCCGCGGUGGAGAACGGAGAAGCCGCUUCCAGCUCCAGAGCUGCCGGGGGGACAUCGGGACCCGACCACCAGAGCUGGACGGACAGAGGGACGGCAGAGCCGGGAGCUGCAUCCAUCCCCAUCCCCCGCGGCAGCAGAGGGGCCUGGGAACCCCAACUGGGGGCCACAGAGCCCCCCAUCCCCAUGGGAACGUGCUGGGGAGGGAGGCCAGCGCCGUUAGGUAACGGGCAGGGGGGACACGGGCGGUGACGUGACCCAGCUCCCCCCCCUUCCCAGGCCCGGGGGGGACAAAUCCGGGCAGGCUGCGUGGAAAUAAACCCUUCCCUACCCAGCA
Molecule: long non-coding RNA, 1743 nt
Organism: Taeniopygia guttata (zebra finch)
Lineage: Eukaryota; Metazoa; Chordata; Aves; Passeriformes; Estrildidae
Source: RefSeq, a predicted model, not a curated record